Molecule: ribosomal RNA, 582 nt
Filed under: uncultured bacterium
Lineage: Bacteria
Description: bacterial SSU rRNA
Rfam family: Bacterial small subunit ribosomal RNA
Source: RNAcentral
GAUGAACGCUGGCGGCGUGCCUUAAGCAUGCAAGUCGAACGGUUGCGAUCGCAAGAUCAAGACAGUGGCAGACGGGUGAGUAACGCGUAGGAAUCUACCCCUUUGUAGAGGAUAGCUCGCCGAAAGGCGAGGUAAUACUUUAUAGUCCCGCAAGGGUAAAGGACUUAACGGUCCGCUAAGGGAGGAGCCUGCGUCCUAUCAGCUAGUUGGUGAGGUAAUGGCUUACCAAGGCUAUGACGGGUAGCUGGACUGAGAGGUUGACCAGCCACAACUGCACUGAGAUACGGGCAGUACACCUACGGGUGGCAGCAACUAGGAAUAUUGCGCAAUGGACGAAAGUCUGACGCAGCGACGCCGCGUGGAGGAAGACGGCCCUCGGGUUGUAAACUCCUUUUGCCAAGCCGUUCACAGCUUGGAGAAUAAGCCUCUACUAACUACGUGCCAGAAGUCUCGGUAAUACGUAGGAGGCAAGCGUUAUCCGGAAUCACUGGGCGUAAAGUGUGCGUAGGCGGUCUGGAAAGUCUCGGCUUAAAGGCUACGGCUUACCCGUAGUUUUGGUUGGGAUACUCCCAGACUUGAGGA